AUGCACUUACACACAUGCAGGCAAUACAGUCAUGUACACAAUAUUAAAAUAAUAAAAUUUACAAAAAAAGAUUAACUAGUCAAGACUGAAAUUUCUAGUCAUCUGUUAGAAGAUCCACCUUUCCAGUUUCAUUGGUCAAUCAUCUGGUCAUAGGACCACCCUUAGGAAGGUGGGGUCACUUUAUAUUAUGCUAAAUAGAUGGGCAGAAUACCUAGUGUGUUAACGAAAUAGUGAACUUUUCCUCCCUAGAAUCCUGCCUGUAGCGAAGUGCUUCUGGACUGGCCACAGACAUGUAGCUCUCUCAGUACCCCAUUCCUGGAAACCACACUGAGGAUGUGACCAAAACCUGGAGGGACCCAGACAACUGGAAUGGGAACUGGACUGAACAGCUCAUCUUCCCCUGCCCUCUUCCAUCCACCAAAGCCUUUUUAAUUCCACGGCAGUGAGGUUUAAUGGUACCCCGACUCCCAGGGACCCCUCCUUCUCUAUAGGAGCUCUGUCUUCAUUCUUUCUUCUAAGCUCCUGAUAAUAAAAUACUCCUUCCUACAACU
Nannospalax galili (Upper Galilee mountains blind mole rat) is the source of this 551-nucleotide long non-coding RNA. RefSeq lists it as uncharacterized. Lineage: Eukaryota; Metazoa; Chordata; Mammalia; Rodentia; Spalacidae. The transcript is spliced from 2 exons. The record is from RefSeq and is a predicted model, not a curated record.